Molecule: transfer RNA, 66 nt
Filed under: Sphaerodactylus townsendi
Lineage: Eukaryota; Metazoa; Chordata; Lepidosauria; Squamata; Sphaerodactylidae
Description: tRNA-Gly
Rfam family: tRNA
About the family: Transfer RNA (tRNA) molecules are approximately 80 nucleotides in length. Their secondary structure includes four short double-helical elements and three loops (D, anti-codon, and T loops). Further hydrogen bonds mediate the characteristic L-shaped molecular structure. tRNAs have two regions of fundamental functional importance: the anti-codon, which is responsible for specific mRNA codon recognition, and the 3' end, to which the tRNAs corresponding amino acid is attached (by aminoacyl-tRNA synthetases). tRNAs cope with the degeneracy of the genetic code in two manners: having more than one tRNA (with a specific anti-codon) for a particular amino acid; and 'wobble' base-pairing, i.e. permitting non-standard base-pairing at the 3rd anti-codon position.
Source: RNAcentral
GGGGCUCAGUGGUAGAACCUCUGCUUUCCAUGCUGAAGGUCAUAGGUUCAAUUCCUAGCAUCUCCA